Molecule: ribosomal RNA, 1048 nt
Filed under: marine bacterium AG13_002
Lineage: Bacteria
Description: bacterial SSU rRNA
Rfam family: Bacterial small subunit ribosomal RNA
Source: RNAcentral
GAGUUGUUUAACCUUCGGGGGACGACAACGGCGUCGAGCGGCGGACGGGUGAGUAAUGCCUGGGAAAUUGCCCUGAUGUGGGGGAUAACCAUUGGAAACGAUGGCUAAUACCGCAUGAUAGCUUCGGCUCAAAGAGGGGGACCUUCGGGCCUCUCGCGUCAGGAUAUGCCCAGGUGGGAUUAGCUAGUUGGUGAGGUAAGGGCUCACCAAGGCGACGAUCCCUAGCUGGUCUGAGAGGAUGAUCAGCCACACUGGAACUGAGACACGGUCCAGACUCCUACGGGAGGCAGCAGUGGGGAAUAUUGCACAAUGGGCGCAAGCCUGAUGCAGCCAUGCCGCGUGUAUGAAGAAGGCCUUCGGGUUGUAAAGUACUUUCAGCAGUGAGGAAGAUGGUGUGUUUAAUACGUACAUCAUUUGACGUUAGCUGCAGAAGAAGCACCGGCUAACUCCGUGCCAGCAGCCGCGGUAAUACGGAGGGUGCGAGCGUUAAUCGGAAUUACUGGGCGUAAAGCGCAUGCAGGUGGUUUGUUAAGUCAGAUGUGAAAGCCCGGGGCUCAACCUCGGAAUAGCAUUUGAAACUGGCAGACUAGAGUACUGUAGAGGGGGGUAGAAUUUCAGGUGUAGCGGUGAAAUGCGUAGAGAUCUGAAGGAAUACCGGUGGCGAAGGCGGCCCCCUGGACAGAUACUGACACUCAGAUGCGAAAGCGUGGGGAGCAAACAGGAUUAGAUACCCUGGUAGUCCACGCCGUAAACGAUGUCUACUUGGAGGUUGUGGCCUUGAGCCGUGGCUUUCGGAGCUAACGCGUUAAGUAGACCGCCUGGGGAGUACGGUCGCAAGAUUAAAACUCAAAUGAAUUGACGGGGGCCCGCACAAGCGGUGGAGCAUGUGGUUUAAUUCGAUGCAACGCGAAGAACCUUACCUACUCUUGACAUCCUCAGAAGAGACUGGAGACAGUCUUGUGCCUUCGGGAACUGAGAGACAGGUGCUGCAUGGCUGUCGUCAGCUCGUGUUGUGAAAUGUUGGGUUAAGUCCCGCAACGAGCGCAAC